UACCCAUGGAAAAAUAAAGCACUGGAAAAUUUUCUGGAAAAUUUCAGAACAAAAACUUGGGUGAAUGGGUCUGCUCUUUUUUACUAAGAAGAAAGUCUUUAAAAACAUUCUGCACCAAAAUCAAAGCCAAAGCAACUAAUUUAAUCAAUUUCACCAGGAGGUCUAAUGAAGGCAAGUGCAUCAUCUUCUAUCCUGAAGCAUUUCUUACUGGAAUGAUACUUCAUUGUCUAUCAAACAGUAUGCCUACACAUUCAACUUGUUGUGAAUUUUUGUGCCUAUGUUGUCCUUUGCAACAAUGCUGCAUGAUUACUGCAUGCACAUCUAAUAUUUGUUUCACAAUCAAGACAUUGUUGCCUUGUAUCUUUGUAGCUCCACAGCCUGAUUAUGUUUGUUUGGCAAUAAACACUCAGCAUUUUGAUCAGCUAUCCCAUGGUGCAUUCUAUUGCUGUUAUAAAUGCUUUCUCUUAUUUUUUUGCACUCUGGUGUUCUGAGAUAUCUAUCAGAAGUUAAUGGGAUUAUGGGGACAAACGGAUCAAUUUCCAUGAUUCCUCUUGUUUCGUUUUGUUGUCUCUUUGAUUUUUAUGAGCCAGUAUCAUUUUGAAAGUACUGUCAGGUGUGAGAAAAGUAGGCUUUAUGUAAGACAUUUAUUAUUACUGCAGUUGAUUCUUGUGUAUUUCAGUGAAAUGAUUUACUUACACCUAAUACAUGUGAAUUAUCAGUUAUAUUUCACCUUAAUUUUUGUCAUAUUUGUAAUGUAGUGCCUUUCAGUGGAAUGUUUGUCUUCAUUAUGUGGCUCUGGAUUUAGGACAGUAAUACUUCAGUUCAGAAGAGGUCUGAUACUGAGGACUAAGAAAGAAGAUAAAAUUGAUGUAUUACUGUGUAUUAUUUUAAAGGGAAAUUUUGUUAGUAUUUAAAAAAAAAAAAAAAAAAAAAAGCAGUAAGUUUGUAUAGGAUUAUUAGGAGGCCAUUUGUCCUUGGAAAGUUAUGUGCCAUUUCAUCAUCUGGUGUUGUCCUCUGCCCCUUUUUUACAUUACUUUUGUGUACAGUAAAAUAGUGGUAUACAGUACACAUGA
Molecule: long non-coding RNA, 1073 nt
Organism: Gavialis gangeticus (Gharial)
Lineage: Eukaryota; Metazoa; Chordata; Crocodylia; Gavialidae
Exons: 2
Source: RefSeq, a predicted model, not a curated record